Long non-coding RNA from Orcinus orca (killer whale), 882 nucleotides. RefSeq lists it as uncharacterized. The transcript is spliced from 4 exons. The record is from RefSeq and is a predicted model, not a curated record. NCBI's taxonomy places the organism in Eukaryota, Metazoa, Chordata, Mammalia, Artiodactyla, Delphinidae.
UGAAGUAGGCGGGGGCAAGGGCCAGAUGGGUGGGGCGAAGGAGGAGAUUGCUGGCAGGUUGGGGAUGGCACCUGCGAGCAGCCGCGUGGUUCGGGCUUGAGAGCCGAUGAAACCACUGUAAUUUAAAGACUUUAAGUAAUGCUAUCAAAGCAUACAGCUCCUACAUGGUAAAGCCCAGAUUUGAAAGCAAGUGGACAAAGCCCAAAAUACUAUUAACCACUGGAUCUACUGCCUCUAUUGAAGUUGAUCCUGUUUAUUCUUACAUCAGUUUCAUGAAGUCCUUUUACUUUUGGAAACCUUGCAAAUAAUUGUUAUUUACAGUAAUUUGACCUUCUAGGUGGGCGAGAAAAGGUUAUCUUGGUGGUGGUGGUUUAAAUUACCUAUGGUGGUGAAGAUGGGAGUACCACAAUAUUUUCAGGCAAAAGGCCUAUAACAGUCAUCUAAAAGACCUGCUAGUACCAAGAAUUUGUGCUUUGUCUGAGCACCUCCUACAAAGAUAGAAGAGAGGAAGAAACCUCGGAUUUUCCUGAUGUUGGAGAAACCUACCUGAGCUUCCACUGACCUAAAAGCUGACCUCACAGUGCAUCAUGGCGGGAAGAAGGGAGUUUAGCUGAUUUGAAGCCAAUGGAUUAUAAUUGCAUGUUAAACAUUCAUACUUCCCAAUAAAACAGAGGUUUUUAACUGGGCUGCACAUAAGGUUUUUAACUGAGCUGCACAUAAGGUUUAUCUGCAGAGCUUUAAAAAACUACAGAUGCCCAAGACCCAUCCCAAGGGAUUCUGGUACGGAAGGCAUAUUAUUCAGAAUUUCUUUGACUGAAAGCAGCAAAAGAGCAACUCAAAUCAGCCUCAGCCACAAUUUGGAGUGAGUUGUGAAUUAUUAUC